AUUGAACGCUGGCGGCAGGCCUAACACAUGCAAGUCGAGCGAGCGGCGGACGGGUGAGUAAUGUAUGGGGACUGCCCGAUAGAGGGGGAUAACUACUGGAAACGGUAGCUAAUACCGCAUACUAUCGGAUAACCCAUAUGGGAUUAGCUAGUAGGUGAGGUAAUGGCUCACCUAGGCGACGCUCCCUAGCUGGUCUGAGAGGAUGAUCAGCCACACGUGGACUUAGACACGGCCCAGACUCCUGCGGGGGCAGCAGUGGGGAAUAUUGCACAAUGGGCGCAAGCCUGAUGCAGCCCUGCCGCGUGUAUUAAGAAGGCCCUAGGGUUGUAAAGUACUUUCAGUCGGGAGGCGUUACCGACAGAAGAAGCACCGGCUAACGCCGUGCCAGCAGCCGCGGUAAUUC
This 403-nucleotide ribosomal RNA is filed under the name uncultured bacterium. RNAcentral describes it as "partial 16S ribosomal RNA". It matches the Rfam family "Bacterial small subunit ribosomal RNA", at positions 30 to 526 of the family's 1533-position model. The record is from RNAcentral.